This 460-nucleotide ribosomal RNA is filed under the name uncultured bacterium. Its description in RNAcentral is "partial 16S ribosomal RNA". It matches the Rfam family "Bacterial small subunit ribosomal RNA", at positions 338 to 795 of the family's 1533-position model. The record is from RNAcentral.
CCUACGGGUGGCAGCAGUGAGGAAUAUUGGUCAAUGGGCGCGAGCCUGAACCAGCCAAGUAGCGUGAAGGAUGACUGCCCUACGGGUUGUAAACUUCUUUUAUAAAGGAAUAAAGUGAGGCACGUGUGCCUUUUUGUAUGUACUUUAUGAAUAAGGAUCGGCUAACUCCGUGCCAGCAGCCGCGGUAAUACGGAGGAUCCGAGCGUUAUCCGGAUUUAUUGGGUUUAAAGGGAGCGUAGAUGGGUUGUUAAGUCAGUUGUGAAAGUUUGCGGCUCAACCGUAAAAUUGCAAUUGAUACUGGCAGUCUUGAGUACAGUUGAGGUAGGCGGAAUUCGUGGUGUAGCGGUGAAAUGCUUAGAUAUCACGAAGAACUCCGAUUGCGAAGGCGGGUUCCUGGACAUUAACUGACGCUGAGGCACGAAGGCCAGGGGAGCGAAAGGGAUUAGAUACCCAGGUAGUC